Long non-coding RNA from Pelodiscus sinensis (Chinese soft-shelled turtle), 3759 nucleotides. RefSeq lists it as uncharacterized. Lineage: Eukaryota; Metazoa; Chordata; Testudines; Trionychidae. The record is from RefSeq and is a predicted model, not a curated record.
AGGCGGUGCCUGAUGAGGAUGUCAGCCGGCACUUCUGGCUGUCAGAAGCCCUGCAGCAGCCAGUUGGACAGGCAGGAGUCAGGUCCUGAAGACAUGGCAGUAUUGUGGCAGUGCUAGUGAGAUGGGGUGUAGCAACCCCGCACUGGGUCUGAAGUAGUUAACCUGGCCCAGCUGACUGAGAAGGCCCCACCCCCACAGCACUGUUGGACAAGCUCCAAGUGGAGGCUGGCUAUAAAAGGCCUCUGGAGCUGCUCAGUCAGGGCUGACUACUGCAGAAGCUCCGGGGAAGGAAGGCAGCGGCCAGGCCAAGAGGAGCUGCAGCGGAAGCUGUGGGACCUGAGUCUGAAGACCUAGAGGACUUCUGACAAGAUUCAGAACAGAACCCAAAAGACUAGACAGAAUUUCUUCAUUCAAGCCAUAAAUGUCUGAGGAAAAGCUAUUCUGGAGACUGUGCACAGUGUCAACUUUUACGCUACACGGCAAAAGCGGGGUUAGGAAGAAACAAGAUUCUAAUUCCAUCUUCUUCAGAAGCAUGUGUUACUGACCGCAGUUGGAGUUGCAGAUAAGAAUCUAUAAGGACAACUCGUCUGAUGUGAUAGCUUCACAGUUUUUGACUAUUCAAACCCUUUAAUACAAUCCCCCUUGCCAGAGGUUGUCAAAUUAGUGAUAAAACUCUCUUGGAAAUAAACAUACCUCCUUUGCUAGGUUUGUUUAUAAUUCUGCAAAAGAAAAGGAAUUUUAAAAGUAAAUAAAUACAUGGGAGGAUUAGAGAAGCAAUAAACAAAAAAGUAUUUCCUCAUUUUGGGUUAAAAAAAAAUAGAAGUCCCUUUUCUAGCCUUAACCAGGAAAUAUUCCUUCAUAGAAAAAGAGGCAUGCAUUAUCUAGGAUCUCAUUUAGAUUUUAGGUACACAAGCAUUGAAACAUAUAUAUAUAUAUACUCAAACAGUGCGCAGAUUCCAGUCCAAAACUUAGCACACAAUUCUAUUGUGCCAUUAUGGAUUGAUCGGCAGGGGGUUUUAACAUUAGCUAACACCAGUACAGACACAGAACUGUCUUUAGUUGUUAGCUGUUAAAACUAAAGCUGAAACCUUUUAGCCAUAAUGAAGGAGUUUACAGGGUUCUUAAUCCCUGUACCCCACCCUGAUUCUCCAGCGAUCUCGCUGAAAGCUUUAAAACAGCCCACACCACUAACAUGGUGCAGAGCCUGUCGAACAUGCUUAUCUGCUCAUGAUUACUCUGUGCCACUGUAAAACAAUCUAACUCCUCAAGUGAAUGGAGUCUGUAGCAACAAUGGUGUUAUUGACUUGUUGCUCCAGCUCUAUUUAGUUAUUACCCUCGAGGCCACAAUCAAUAGACUUUGCACCAAGUCAGCCUAAUAAAUCCCAGGCUUUCACUGGAGUUUUGCCAGGAACUGCAAGAAAAUCUAUGGCAGUCAAACACUUAGAGUAUGAAUAACAGAGAAAGCUGUACUGACAGCUGUAUAAAUUAAUUAACAAGGAAUGUUCUUAUUCUUUUAAGAAGAUCAUAAUGCAUGUUUAUUGUGCUUUAGAGAGUCAGAGGUAGAGCAAAAGACAAAUUACCUUUAUGCUUUCAUUAAAAAAUAAUCAGAGGUCUGAUUAAAAUGAAAACAGCCUUUAGCCUGGGAUCAGCCAUAUCUAUAAAUUUCCAAUUAUUCAAUGUGCAAAAAUAAAUGUAUAUUUAUAUUACUGAGAUGGACAUUUCAUUAUUCCAAGUUUGAUUUAAAAAGCAACCCAAACCUCAGAGUGUUGUACAUGCUGUGUUGACAGUACCAGCACUUUAUCUCAGCAAAUGUUGAUUAUUAUGCAUUUGUGUUACCAGAUCCUUCCUCUGCAGUGGGGAAUUGAAUCCUGCUUGUAAUGCCGCAAUUAAAAUGAAAACAAAUGGGGGUGGGGGAAAUCGGUCGGUUGUUUAAGUGGUAAGAGGUCGGUCACUAGCGAAUUACAGGUUCUUUCAGUUCCUCAUGUAAUAAGCAAAUAUUCUGCAGACUCAGCUUGGAGGCGCCCCAGAUCAUAGCGUCCUGAGACAUUCUGAACCCUCUGUAGCAAGAGCUUGGUGCCAGCCCAGGGACAGAAGAAUCUUUUCUUUGCACGUUGAAAACAAAUGUUACAGAUCAAUAGGCUCUUAGAACUUAUUUGUUGCCCCAGUGGUACUUUCUAGAAGCAGUCAGCUUUCCUAAUGAGGGUCGCAGCAUUUACAGGAAGCAACAAACUAAGGUCAACUAGCCAGCUGUUCUGGCACUUGACACUUGCAAUCAGACUCCCUUAACUGCACUGUACGUGAAUAACCUUUUGGUAAAGACAAAUCCUCCUUCAUGUGGUCGGCUGCCGCUUUUACGUUUGGGGAAGGAAAGCUUGGGCCAAAAGGAUGAGCUGUACUGCUAGUAUGGGAGAUGUGUUACAUCUAUCUCAAUAAGUAACUGUACCUCAACUUAAUAAGCUAGGAUCAUCAUUAGGCCCUUUAUCCAAUUCUAAGGCAAGCACAGACCAGACAGGCCUCUCGGUUCAAGCAAACAUAAUGGGAAAGAACUGGAUCUCAUAUGGAAAAUAACAAUGAUAAUUUACUGAAUUAGGUUUAAAAAGAAAAACUUUAUUGAAGUUCGUGAAACAUUUUGAAGUGGGAUGUUAUGAUUGUCCUUUACUAUUGAGUUUAAGUACUAUCUUUGCAUUAAAAACUCUAAUCACUGUUUUCUACUUCUGUUGCUGCCUUCUUGCAUCACUGUCUUUAAGAUUUCUGUAGCACCUCUUCUUUCAAAUGUGCUCUCCCAUCCUCAUCUUAUUUCAGAUGAUCAUCCUCAAUGACAAGUUCAGUAACACUAAUUACAAAGAAGACUGAUCCAGAUACACAUUCAAAGCCCUGUGACAAAACCUCAUUCUUUUCCCUUGUGAAAACAUGCACAUAUAUUUACAACCUAAUUCCUUAACAAUUAAAUAAAAGAACUGUUGUAAACCCCUGACACCAGAGGUAUGGCUGAGAAGGCAUUUUGAAUUUUAAGACCAGGUACUUUAAAAUUUCUGGAAAUAGACUCCUUUACCGUAACUCAAAGUGCUUUCCCUUUCUUUUUUUAGGCAAAGUGAGUUCCGUUUAUUUCACCAUUUUUGUGUUAGUUGAGCACUGAAAUAAAAAGUCUUUCCCCAUGUUUGGUUUAGAAAUAUCUCAAAUGCUGUUUAGCCUUUUCAUUUUUCCAAAGUGACUUUGAUUUAUAACUUCAACAUUCAGAUAUAUAUACGUCUCUCUGUGAGGAACAGACUCUUUACUAAAUCUGAGCUGAAAAAACUGAUUUUCAAAAGUAAUGCAGUUUUAAUUGCUAACCCAGGAAUAGCCCAACACCUAGCCACUAAAAUUCAGACGUUUUUAAAGAUGUCUCCAAAAACUGGGACCCAACAAAAUCAAACUACUGUACUUUUGAAACUCCGGGACAAAGAAUCAAUUCAAAAUAUUAUAACGGGAAAGGAUAGCUCACGCCAUUGGCUGUACAUCAUCUUAGAUGAUUAUAUGCCAUUGUCUGAUGCCAGUAGGGCAAAAGUUAUUUGCACAAGCACUGUGAAAUAAAGCUAUAACUUUUGGGUCCUGGAUUGUCCUUAUGGUUCUCUCUAUGUUCUAUAACCAUCUCUUCCAUUGUGCUUCUGAUAUGUAGUCAUUGUACUAUGUUAAUCACAUUGCAGAUACAGUGAAGGUUGAAACAAAGAGGCUGUGUCUAUACUGGCGCGAUUUUGCACCAGGGCUAUGCAAAUGAGGCUC